AACAAACCUGCACGUUGUGCACAUGUACCCUAAAACUUAAAGUAUAAUAAUAAUAAAAUUAAAAAAAAAAGUGGUGUUCCCAAAUUUAGGGGGAAAGUUUUAAAUAUUUUGCCAUUGAGCACAAUAUUUGCUAUAGACUUUUACAAAUAGAUACUCUCCAUAAGAUUAGGGAAAUUCCUCCUGUUUCUGGGUUGCUAGAGGAGGUUCUCUUUUUUUCUUGUGUAAAAAAAACUGUGACUGUAUAUUGAAUUUUAUCAAAUUGUUCUCCUGUAUCUGUUAAAAUUAUUCUAUUUUUGUUUGGCAAAUAUGAUGAAUUACAUUAAUUUGACUUUAGAUGUUAAUUUUUGCAUUCUUGGAACAAACUUAACAUUGGCUCGUGUUUUUGCUUUCCUGUAACAUCUUUGUCAAGUUUUGUUAUUAAGGUGAUACUGACCUAACAGGAAAAGUAGGAAGUAUUCACCCUUUUUCAAUUUGCUGGGAGAGUUUGGUAGGGUUGGUGUUAUUUCUUCCUUAAAUAUUUGGAGAAACUGCCUGGUGAAGCCAUUUCAGCCCAGAUAUUUCUUUGUGAAAUGUCUUUGAAUUACACAGUUUCAUUAUUUGACAUAGUAUUGUUCAGGCUUUCUAUUUAUUCCUGUGUCUUUCAUGGUAAAUUAUUUCAUGGUAAAUUUUCAAAAAUUGAAUAGUAUUGUUCAGGCUUUCUAUUUAUUCCUGUGUCUUUCAUGGUAAAUUAUUUCAUGGUAAAUUUUCAAAAAUUACUUGGAUUACUUUCUAAGCACCUUUCCCUCAUACUACAAGGUAGUUGUGUUAUUCCUUUGAAAUACAGUAGGAUCAUUUUUUUCUGUCUCUAUUCUGUUUAGAGUUGCCAUGUCAUUCGAUUUUUGAUGCGUGUGUGUGUGCGUUUUCUUUUUUUGAGGAAAUGAAAUAUUAAUAUGGUUCUGAAUGUUAGGUUCAUGUAAAAAGGUCUUUCAAGAAAGGACUUCCCCAAGUCCUUCUAUCCUAUUCCCACUACUCUAUCCUACUAUAUCUUUCUUAUUCCCUCUUUUUAUUACACAAAAGGUAGCAUAUUUUGUUUAUUCAAUUUGAUUCUUCUACUUAAUAUAUUCUAAAAAUCAUUUCAUAUCAGUUGAUAGAGAUCUCCCUCUUCCUUUUCUAUAGCUGCUCAGCACUCCAUUUUGUGGAUGUAACAAGUCUACAUAACCAUUCUCCCAUGUAUGAGCUUUUUGUUUCGUUCAAAUAUUUUUCAAUUACAAACAAUGUUGCAAUGUGUUUUUGUAUUGUAGAAAGUAUAUCCUAAGGAUAAUUUCCUGAAAAUGGGAUUGCUGGGUCAAAAGGUAUUAAUAAAUUUAUGUGUAGUUUUGUUAUAAAUUUCCACAUUUCCUUCUAAAAGGAUUGUACUUAUUUGUACUCCCACUAAAAAUGUGUGAGUGUACCUGUCUUGUCACAGUUGUGCCAACAGAAUGUGUUAUAACACAUUUUAGUUUUUGUCAGUCUGAUUGGUCAUAAAUGGUAUCUGUGUGAUCUUUAAAUUUGUCUUUUUUCCUAAUUAUGAGUAAGAUUGAAUAUCUUUUCCUAAGUUUAAGGGCCACAUUUUAGGCCAUUUUUGCAUUGCUAUAUAGGAAUACCUAAGCUGGGUAAUUUAUUUUAAAAUGAGGAUUAAUUGGUUUGUGGUUCUGCAGACUGUACAAGCAUGGCACCAAUAUCUGCUCAGUUUUCUGAGGUAAGGGCCUAGGAAGCUUAUAAUCAUGAUAGAAGGUGAUGGUGAGCCAUCAUGUCACAUGGCAAUGGCGAGAGCAAGAGAGAGAGAAGGAAGGGAUCCCAGCCUCUUUUAAACAAUUGGAUUUCACAUGAACUGACUGAGCAAGAACUCACUCAUCACCAAGGGGAUGGUUCUAAGCCAUUCAUGAGGGAUCCACCUCCACGAUCCAGUCACCUUCCAACACUGGGGAUCAUGUUUUGAUGUGAGAUUUGGAAGUGACAAACAUCCAAACCAUAUCAGGCCAUGUGUACAUAUUUUGUUUAUCUAAAUUGACUGUGUAUUUUGCCUAUUAAUUUAAGAAAGUCUUUGGUCUUUUUUGACUCAGUUUUGAACAGUUCUUUAUAUAUUAGGGAUAUCAGCUCUUUGUGUUCUGUUGCAAAUAUUUUCUCCCAGUUUGUCAGAGAACUUUUGACUUUGUUUAUAGGUGGGUUUUUUUCUUGCCAUGCAGUUUUUUUUAAAAGCCUUUUUUGAAAUCCAAGUUAUUGAUUUUUUAAAAUUACAACUGGGUUUUAGGUCAUAGAAAGUUUUCCUUUCUACAUGCUAUAGAGACAUUUACUCAUUUUUUUGUAGUGUUUGCAUGGUUUUAUAUUUUUUACAUGUAGGUCUCCAAUCCAUUUGGAGCUUGUUCCUGUAUUUGAUGUGAUAUAAAGAUAUACUUUUAUCAGUUGUUCCAGCAAUAUUAUUAAGGUGAUGGGCUAAAAAGUUCAUCUUUGCCCCAGUGAUUUGAGAUGCUACCUUUACCACAUAUUAAAUUUCCAUGUGUACUUGGAUCUAUGUCUUAACUUUCUAUUCUAAUACUGGUAUGUUUGUCUAGUCAUGUGCCAGUUCCUCAAUGCUUAAUUGUAGAGGUUAAUGGUAUGUUUCUUUUCUUUUUAUUUAUUUAUUUUUUUUGAGAUGGAGUUUCGCUCUUGUUGCCCAGGCUGGAAUUCAAUGGCACGAUCUUGGCUGACUGCAACCUCCACCUCCCGGGUUCCAGCGAUUCUCCUGCCUUAGCCUCCUGAGUAGCUGGGAUUACAGGUGCCCACCAUUAGGCCCAGCUAAUUUUUUUUUGUAUUUUCAUUAGAGAUGGGGUUUUACCAUGUUGGCCAGGCUGGUCUUGAACUCCUGACCUCAGGUGGUCCACCCACCUCAGCCUCCCAAGGGAUUAGAGGCAUUAGCCACCACACCCUGCCAGUAUGUUUCAAUGAGCUUCUUUUUAAUAUUAAAAUUGGUCAUUUGAUUCAUUUGUUAUUACUUUUCCUAGAUUAUCUAAGAGCUCUGUUGUAGGGGAGUAGGGCCAAGUUUGCUGUUAAUCAGACCUAAAUAUUCUGGUCAUGCUUCCAAACACUAGGUGAAGAUAAAUUCAGGAAGUCCAAUUAUGUGCCAGAUAUUUGCUGCUGUGUUUUGGGCAAAGGUCAGAUGACGUUUCUGAAAAGGUACCUCUGCAAUUCCAGUGUCUUUGUGACCUGCUGCAGUGAUGUUGCUGGUGGUCUACAGACUGUGUUAGCCCUAGGGUUUCCUUAAAAUAAUGCAGUUUUGUUUUGCUGGAAGUGUCUCUUCAGGUGAAAUUAACAGAAGUGAGAUUCUUGGCUCAAAAGGUACAUGAGUAUGUAAUUUCGUUGCUAUUGCCAAAUUCUCUUCUAAAUUAUUAUACUAGUUUGCAUUCCUACCAGCAAUGGAUAAGAGCUCUUGUUUUCCCACAGCUUUGCCAACAAAAUACACUGUCCUACACUUUUUAAUUUUUGCUAGUCUGAUGGGGGAGAAAUGGCAACACUUGGCUGCAGCAUUUUUCCCUCUGCAGAUGCAGGAUUGGGCAGCCGGGCUUCCACCCCAGAACACAGUGCAAGUGCAUUAUGCCACACUCCCUUCACUACCUGAAGCAUCCCUGCAAGAGGCCCUUUGUGUCAUCUUCUGGUAGCAAAUCUCAGGACCUCAAGCAAAAUGUCAUAAAACAAGAAAAGACAUGAAAUGCCUCUCUGGACUUCAUUUGAUCCACAAAGAAGGAUUUGGUGACAACAUGGGAGUGACAGAAACAGGGAAAAUUGGCCAUGUCAUCUUGGAGUUCACAAAAGUAAGAGAGUGCAGUGCUGGACAUUUUUGGACAUACACUGCAGACUAACUUCAGAAAGUUCUAGGGAGAAUCAGUAUAUGCCAACAGCCAGAGGUACAAAGGAAAAAAAAAUGACUCAUGAAGAUCAAAGAUCCUGAGAAAUGAAAUUCUGACCAUAUAUUAAAACAAUUCACAGAGAUGAGGUUGUGGGAUGCCAGGGAUGGACAUCAGGAGAAGCCGGCAUGGCUGUGUAGGCAGCUCCCUAACAAGUCCAGGAUUUUAAAGGACCUAAGUCAAAGAUGGAGGAAAGCAAGGAAAAGCAAAGGCAAGGGCAAACAACAGUGCAAACUGUUAGGAAUAGUGUCAGGGAAGUGAAAAAUCAAAGUAAACCGAGACUUGAAUUAAGAAAGAGAACAAAAGGGUUAUCAGCCUAAAAAUAACAACACUUGAUAAAUGUCAAGUUAUGCAAACCAUGAAGUAUAUAUUGUUAUUUCCUCCAUUUUAUAGAGGAGAAAAUUAAGGGGCAAACAGGCAAUGUAGCUUCUACGGUAUCAUAUAACGUGUAAAUAGUGGAGCAGAGAUUUCAAACAAGUUAAGAACUUCUAUUUCCUAUUCAUAUCUCCUUGCAUGUGGAGGAACAUCGUUUAACCUGGCCUUCUUCAUCUCUCUCAUCCUUCCACUGCGAUGAUGAAGGAGCAAACACCUGACUGAUAAGUUUGGAGGGAUAAUUUAUACUAACCAGCCCCUUCCUCCUUCUCUCUUGAGAGUUGACCCAGCAAGCACAUGUCCUCAGAUGCUCUCAGCCUUGAGAUAACUUAGAGGUUAAGGCCUUGCUUCUUGGGAGAAGAUCUGCAAUAGCCCAGAGCUGCCUGUGACUGUCUGGGAAGGUCUGUCAAAUCCUGGGUUGUAGCUCCAGCUCACUAGCUCCCAGACAUGUCAAAUACUCCAACAUCAGCUCUAUCAGUCAUGCAGAUAUGUUUGUUUCCCAUUGGCCUUACCUUUUUGGGUUCUAUUUCUUAUUUGGUUCCAUCUCAAAGAUCUCAACAAGCCCUUUUUUAACCUGACCUCAAGCCUGAGCUCCUAACCACUAAGCAAUACCACUUUGCUAUGCCUUGUGUAAGAUGGAUUACGGUUUACAGAUAACAGAGAUAACUGCCAGGUUAUUUUGUUACUACCUUUUCCAGAAAAUUGAGUAUUUUUUUCUAAAUUAGGAAUGGCAAAAUAUGAUUAAGGGAAAACUGAAAAUCAAGACAAGAGAUGGAAGAAUAAAACACCCUGUAAAUUCUUUAAAUAAAGUCAAGUCCUCAGACCCAGAAAAUGAUAUUGCAGCCUUAGGUAACCACUUAGGAGCCACUAUCAGUCACAGUGGAGAUAUCAUGGAGUAUUGGAAAAUAUCUGCAGAAGACUGGAGAUGGGAAAGUGCCCUCAGUCUUAGGCAAAAGCCGUAGUCAAAAGGCUAAGCAAUGGUAAUCUCAGAAAUCACAACCCCUAGACAUCAACCCCCCAGAAACCUGUAGAGCAGGUCUAUGAGAAAAUAAUAUACUGAAAAACUACAGUUAAGAUGAGUCCACUGAAAAAAAGUAAAUUGCCUAAACUCAUUCUAUUAACAUUUUAUAUAAGUUUUUUCAUGCAUUUAUCAAGAAGUACUAAAAAUAUAGCAUAUUUUUAUGCCGGCAAAACAAUGGACUGACUGUUUCAUAACAUACUUGAUAUGAUGAUGGAAAAGGAGAUGCAUGAUUGUGCUGUAAAGUAGCUUGGCAUCUGGAAGAUCAAUCAUAGUGAAUAUAAAUGCCAUCUUUGAGCUGAGUAGGAUAUUAGCCACCUUCUAAAAAGCAAAUACAAUCUUUAAGUUGCAUUAAAAAAAGAAAGAAAGCCUCAAAUCAUAGAAAGAUUCCUAAUGUACCCUUCAAUGGUCAAACCAUAUUUAGAGUUUUGUGUGAGAUUAUGGAUGCAACAUAUUAAGAGAGAUAUUGACAAACAGGAGCAUGUUCAAUAAGCAAUGAACAAAGGACGAAGACCCUGGAUGUCAUGUCAAUUAGAAAAUGGUUGAGGGAGCUUCAAAUUUUUUCUGGAAAAGGGUUGACAGUGAUAAACACGUAGACUGGCUUUCAAGUCAUUGAACUAUUUUGAGCCUCAGAUUUUUCUUGUAUAAAAUGAAAGGGCUUGAAAUUAAUGGGGUCUAUAUCAUCUCUGAAAUCAUAUCCUUCUUCUAUGCAAACAUUUGAAAAGUUAUAGUAAUGGGUUAAAGAAUAUGAUUGGUCUCACUACAGAAAACAGAAUUAGAAUUAAUGAAUAAACAUUACAGAGAGGUAAAGUUGUAACUAGACGUGAAGGAACUUUCUAACAAUUAGAUGCAUCAUGAAAGACUAGGGUGUUGAUAGCUAGUAAGCAGGAUGACAAUCGAAAUAUUAUUCAAGAAUUGGCUGGAUGAUGAUGAUGACAACAAUGGUAAUGGUGAUUUCUAUUAUAUGUUGAUGUUAUGAUUAUCAUUACAAUAUAUUAAGUGUCCACUAUAUGCUAGUGAUAGAGACAGGAGACAGCUAAAUGCCUACACAGAUAAGGAAGGGUCGCUGGAGAACCUCUAACCCAUCUGAAUCAUUGUGCACAGGGGGCUUGCCUAAACAUGCCUAAGGUGAAAAAUUCCAUCCUUUAACACAUGCGCAGUAAGGGAAAUAAAUCAGUGUGGAGUGGUUCAGACUAAGGGCCCUCAUGUGCACUGGAAGAAUGGGUGGAGCCACCAGAAAUUCACGCCUUAUGCAGGGGAGACACCUGGCCUCUUCAAUUCAUGUGGUAGCCUAGUAUUCAAUUUGUGAGGUGGAAACCUGUGUGCAGGAUCCCUCUUUUUGUGGAGAACUUUCCUUUUGCUUAAUAAAUUCUGUGCUCCUCACCUUUCAAUGUGUCCAUGUGCCUAAUUUUUCCUGGUCGUUGAGACAAGAACUCGGAUUUAGCUGAGCAAAGGAGCAAAAAAUCCUGCAUCAUUUUGGUGGCCCAUAUGGGGACAUGAGGAAGGGUGAGUAAAACAUGGACCCAAAAAUCUAUUUCCCUUUCAUUUCUGAGCUUUCUUAUCCUAAGACUUUUUCUGAGGGCAGGAGAAACUUCCCCCACCACCCACUCUGUCGCUCUCAGGGGUUGGAAUAUCGGCCUCAGUCCAACCCAGUCUUUUCUGUGGCAUUUUCCUUUUUACUCGGGGGGGAAUGUAAUGGCACCUAUCUUUUCUUUUACAAUAUUGGGGAUGUUCCACCCCCAACCCCAGUGGCCACAGGCAUGUGCUUAGGAUGGACCAGUGAGAGGCAGCUCCCCUAACCCUCCCCUCCCAGCUGGGGUGCAUGGCCAUGUCCACUGCAUGUGCGUGUGGUGUCAAUAGCCACAUAGGGCGGGAAUGAGCCACAGCUGCUGCCCAGGCCCCAGGGUGGCCUUGGAGGCCUGGGUCCUGCUCAGCCAGCUAGCCAACAUUCCCUGCCACUGCCACCAUCCAUAGUCUUUCCCUCCCCCAGCUAAAGGGUACAGCUCAGUCUGACAGCAAUUAAAAGUUUCCCUCCCUGUUGGAGAAAUCCAUUUGCAUAAGAAUAAGCGGUUCUUCCCCCAGGCAUCUUCCCCACCCAGCAUUUAUGCUUUUUUUUCCUUUUCUGCACUCUGUCAGCAGUUAACACAGCCCCACACUUAAGCCUUUUUUUCUUUUCUCCACCCUGUCAGGAGUUAACUUUUAAGGGAGAGGUUUUCCUUUCUUGAAAGGCAUCUUAUUAGACCAGGACCUCAAUUCACAGGACACCUGUUUCCUCUCCGUUGUUUCAGAAGGACGCAGUUCCUCAGCUUCACCUUAACAUUUGGCUUAUGAUAAGGAGGCAACUGCCAAUCUGGCGAGGGACACCUGGGGCUUGAUGAGUCCGUGCACUCCCUGAGUCAGUUCUUUUGUCCCAACUGAAUUCCAAGCUUUGGGACAAAGCCCUAGGAAAGAAAACUGGAUCUGAGAGAUCCAGAGGCAGAUGACAACGGAAGUUAAAAGGCACAGCACAAAUGAGCAUGACUAAUUCUUGCCAAUUAAGCCAAGCCUCCCAUUUCAUGGAUAAAGGUCAUGCUAGUAUCCAUGGCAUAAGUGAGGUCUAGAGAAUUCAAAGGCUACUGACACCAGAAGGAAAGGCAGCACAUGGGUAAGAGCAGAUAUUCCCACCCCCUAGCCUCCUGCAGUGUUAGCAUGGGUGAAAGCCAUAUUGUCACCCAUGGGCAGCACCCUGUUGAGGUUGCUGGGACUCGGGAAUAUAAGGAUGAAAGAAGGAAAGAGGAUGCUUUUUCCUUCUCGCCCUCAUAAACCCCAGGUAUUUGCUAGGAAGAUAAAGGAACCAGAGAUGCCUAGCUCCCCUCUUUCUAGAUGAGUAGCCAUUCAUGUUCAGUCUGUCCCCCUUUUGAAUGCAUCCUGAACCCCUGGGGCUCCUUUGAAAACAAAAAGUCUUCUUUGUCCCUUUUUCCUCCUUGAUCCUCUCUUUACAGAUGGAUAAUUGUGUUCCCGUAUUCCAGGACACUUCCCUCAGAUGUAUCCUCCAAACUGAGAAAAGUUAAUUUCCCAAACCUUAAACUGGUUGGCUUAGAAUUGAGGUCGGGGAAAGGGAAUCCAGAAGCCUGACAUGCUGGCAAAAGGGUAAAAGUUUUUUUUUUUUAACUAGUUGGACUUUUAUCUUCUCUCUCCCUGUGCAAACUGGUGCAAGUAAUGAUAAGGAUCACUUUUUAUAUUCUCUGUAAAGUUUUGAUUAAUGAAAAAGAAUUUAUGAGGUUGGUCUUAAGCUCUAGCCAAUCUGGUAUGCUUUGUGUGUCUUCAUUGAGGCUUGGUGGUUUCACUUGUGAGGUCACUUUUGGUAAAGUUCAAAAGCCAGAAGUAUUGGCUGCUUGGUGUUGCCAAAGGCAAUAAGGAAUUUAAAAUGAUUUCCUUAAAGAGCAUGCAACUUAAUUAAAAGUGAAUAUCCAAGUUAUAGGUAUAUUUAAAAGGCCUUUGUUUUUCUCUUCUUGGAUCUUAUUUUGCUGGAAAAAGGUUUUUUCUCAGUUAACUGAAUUGCUUUUCUCCUCUUUGUCUUGCCACUCAAUGCAUGCAUAGUAGGCCCUAAGAUAACUUCUAAUGCCAUGGGACUCCUUGGGAAAAACAGAAAAGGUGCCACAGAUUCCAUUUUAGGAGAAACCUGUUUUGCUUAUGGAACCCCAGGAAUUAGAGGCAGAUAGAUCCCUCUCAAAAUCUGUUUUUGUCUUCCAGCUAUGCCUAUUUAUUAGGCUAUAGAAACUGCAUGCUUUCCUAGUCCUGCCCUUAAUGGGCCCCACCCAGAGACCAAUAAUUCAACUAGGAGAUUGGCAAAUGAAAAAUUUUAUAGCUACUGGAUCUUCUUCUAUCUGCGUAGUUAUAUAGGUGUUGUGUGUGAUGUCUAUAACAAAAAGAGCGCCAAUUAAUUGUCCUAAAGAAAAAUAAGUGAUUAGAUCAAAUAUUUUUUGAGGGAAAAAUAAAAGGUUUAAUGCCUUUUACUUCAUGUGACUUUAAUCUUUGAGAAAUAAAAACAGUCUUAAUGAUUAUUGGUAAAAUGCAAAUGUUGUUAAAAUGUAAAUAGGUGUUCUAAAUUAUACAGCUCAGAUCCUACGUUUGCUAAAUGUUUUAAGGUUAUAAAUUGCUUCUUUAGCUGUUGAGAACUGUUCCACUUGCCAGCCUCACAAUUGCUAAGGCCUGGGGACAUGUGGAAUUAACCACACCCUUAACUAUGCUGGAAGGAGUCAAACUUUAUUGAUGCCUAGUGCAUAACUAAAACAAAUUGCCAAAUUUUACAUUAAAAUUAAAAAUUGGUAAGAUAUACCAUUAUAACAUGUGAUUGAGACCACUGAAAAUAGAUUUACAUGCAAAGUGUGUAAGAACAGUAAAAUGUGUUUUUAGUAAAAGAUUGUAAGACAGCAUGGAAAUGUAAAUUUUUGCCUAGGGUUAAAGGAUUGUUUUAAGUUAGGUAAGAUGAAGCUAAAGGUUUAAAAAAGUUAUGGAAAGUUUCUAAAAAUUAAUCUUGCAAAAGAAAUUCUGUGUGUCAACAUUGACUAAAUUCAAAAGGGUAUUAUAUGGUUUUUCUGUAAAUUGAUCAUUGAAAUAAAAGCACAACAAGGUUUUCUUAAGGUACUAACCUGCCCUUUAGCAAAAUUUGUAAAGGGUUAUAAAAGAUUUAUAUGAAUCUCACCUCAUGGUCAAACUGGUUAAGACUGGAUAGAAUUGUCCAUAAGGUUUCAUUUAAAAAAUUGGGUUGACAUUAAUAGUAAACUAAUGUAAGGGUAAAAGUUGACGUUCUCUAACUUGUACAAGAUUUUAAUGUAAUAGUAAAGAAUAAUGAAAGAUUUUCAUUUGCCUUGCAGAUGGACUCCUAAGGAAAUGAAAGAGAAGACAGGAGACAAAUUGUUAGGAAAAGCUAAGUCUUCCCUCUUAAUGAGCAAAGAUUUUUGCCUGGUUUAAAAAUUUUUGUGAUGUAAUUUUGGCAAAAUAACUAACUGAUGGUAAUCUGGAAUUCUAUUUCAUAGCAUCAAGUGUUUUAAACCACUAACAUAUUUAAUAGGCUUCCCAAAACCAAAUUUUGGCUUCAAGUUGUCCGUCCUGACCCCUAGUUUUUGGAUGCUACAGACGGCCCCUGAAGCAUCCAAAGAGGGUAGACAGGAUUACCUGAUGUCUUUAGGUACAUGGGAUUGCCAAAAUGAUGUUUAAUAUUCUUCAGGUUAUAUUUUAGUGAAUAAUAUUAAUAUCUGUUCCAAAAUAGUACAGGAUUUUAAAAAUUCUAAUGUAUGAGUAUAUUUAUGAAUCACAAUUCAGGGUGUUAUAUUAAGUUAUUGUAAACCACAGAGAUAACCAAAUUUCUUUGUCAAUUAUGUUUUUGACUGUAACUACCCUGGACAUUUUGUUAUUCAUAGACAAUUGUUGUCUUGGUUUGAUCCUCUUUAAACGAUGGUAUAUAAUAAGCUAUAGAACUUUGACAGGUUCUCUCAAAUGCAGGUUACUGAUAACUUUGUAAAUUGUGACAUUGGUAUAAAGGAAAAACACACAGGGCUAAUGAAGAACUGAAAUGUUUAGAAAUAUCAAUACAAGAGUUAACUAAAAGGACUAAACUAAUAGAAAACUGAAGUAAUCUUUUUUAAAACUUUUGCUUAAAACAUUGCUGAUCUUUGUUUUGUUUUUCAGAGUCAAGGAAACUUUUAUUUUGAGCUAUUUACAGUCUUUAAUAAUUGAGUAAAGUAGACUCCUGUGAACAAAAUUUGGAGCAUGUUUGUUUCUCUUUGCAUGGUUCCUAUAGAAUUUGGAAACUAUCUGUGAGUAUUCUUAUGGCAAUAUGGUUAUUUUCAUCAGUGCAAUAAGAAUCUAUUUUCUUUUGCAAUAGGAUGCAAUUGGAGAAGCUGGUUGUUCUACCAAGGCUUUGACUGGAAGGGUAUACUUUCCUUUAAGGAAUUGAGCUUGACUUGUGGAGCUGAUAAAAGCCCCUUGGGGAAACUGGCCUCAUAUCUUGUCUACACAGUCCCUGUACAGGGUUAUUAAUCUGUAGUGAGUAAAGAGUGUCACUUUCUAAUAGGCCCAAGAACCCCAUAUUCUUGGGAUCCCAAGAGGAGAAUAAUUCACUCAACUCAUAGGUAUUUGAGGGGACAAAUCCAUGGCUGGGCUUGGUUUUUAAAAGUCCUAUCUGAGAUUCCUUGUGGAACAAAGUUCUAUCAAAGCCAAUUUAAAAAGACUGUAAAAAUAAUUAUUUUUGCUGCACUUUAUGCAAGUAAUAAGGCCAAGUAUAAGACUAAAGUUUAUUUUUGCAAACAACUCAGUCCUAUCAUGAUUUGUUUUUAACAAAAAUGAGGACUGAGAAAUUAUGUUUCAAGACUUAUUAUACAUUUGUCAUUAAAUUCUAGACUCAUUAGUUGUUGUUAAGUUUUUCACCUACAUUUUAAACUAACCCUGCUUAUUCCUGUGAACCAACCAGCAGUCUCCAACUGCAGCUCAGAAGAAACAAAAAGAGAUGGGUAGUAUAAAAAUCUGGAUAAUAUUCUAGUUCUGGGAAAUUAUCCUGCAGUUUCUGCCAGGUGAUGGGGGUAAAUGGGGUGCCCAUAACCUGGAGGUUUCUUUUUUUGGGAAAAUAAGACCAAGGGAGCUCACCAAAGCCAAGCCCCAUGCACCCAAAUCUUAGCAGGUGUAACUAUAGCCACCAGUUAUCUGGGCAUGCUGGUAGCCUUGGAAUUUUUGAGCUCUCCUUACCUUUACCUUUUGUUUUGUUUUGAUACAUGUCUUCUAAUAACCUGGUUUGUCUCUUCCUGCCUUUAGGCCAUUGAACUCCAAACAAUCAUGCAACUAGAGCCUCAAAUGAUGGCCCCCUUUUACCAGAGACCCUUAGAUAGGCCUCUGAGGGAGAUCUGACUGCUGUUAUUUGAAAACAGCACCCCCUGUCAGCAGAAAGCAGUUAAGGUGAAGAGCUAUUUUCCUGAUGUCCUAAGAAUUUUAUUCAAUUAAUGUUAUAGGUGCCACUAGAGGAGCUGGAAGGUGUUCCUGGUCUUUUGCAAAAGAAAGCUUUCUUCUCAAAUCAAUGCAAAAUCUCCUUCUCUUCUAACUAUCCUAGAGCUGUGGGGAGGAGGCAGAGAGUGUGUGGAUUUGAAAGGGCUUCUCGACCUCUAGGUAAAAAGAAAGAGCUUAGAUAUUAACAUUGUAAUUACAUCAAUUAGAUGCUAACUUUAUUUGGUUUUCAAAAAUAAUCAGGCCCCUGCUAAUUGUGUGUAUAGAGAAAGAAAUGAGUCCACAUUCUUUGUAAACACUAAGUACACUUUUUUGUUCUCUAUCAAUGAGCAGCAGGCAGCAUGUGGAUCUCAGAUAUCUGAAGACAGGGCAUAUGAGCUGAUUAAAUGGGCUGGUAGGAAAGGUCUGAAUUCAGAGGUUAGCACUGCCAACCCUCUGUUCCUCCAGUCCACCCCCUGUAACCAGCUCCCACUGGCUUCAUCACGGCUGCCCAAUUUCUUCCUACUCCAGUGUUUCUCAACCCUUUAAAUCAAUGCCAACUUUUCAUAAAUACAAACAUCUUAUUCACACUUUCCCCAGAAAUUCUAACACGUUCCUCAGGAUUAGGGGAGUGGAAACUUCAGUUAGGAAACUCUGUAUUUUCUUUGUAACCCAGCAGCAAAAACAAUGUGGUUGUGUUUUGUUUUCUGAAGUUGCCAUUAUAAAAAUAAUAGUUUUGUUAUGUUUUUAUAAGAUAAAACUAAAUUAUAAAAUUGAACAUGUCUUCUCAAAUUUUUCACUUGCCUCCAACCACCCUCCACUUCCCAUAGAUUCUAGUAUUUCUCUAAGAGCCCAUUCCUCAAGUUAAAAAUUGUUGCUCUAAUUUCUACAUCAUGACCAGGACAUGCUGUAUAAUUUGUGGGGCCUAGUUCAAAAUGAAUAUGCAAGGUCCCUCUUCAAACAUUAUUAAGGAUUUCAAGAUGGCUACAGUAGAGGAUUAAACCAAGGCUGGGACCUUUCUAAGCUUGGAGUCCUGGGUGACUGCACAGAAUACAUGCCACAAAGCUGUCCCUGAUCAUGACUUUUUAGCUUCUGCUAUUCCUGUCAUUGACUUCAUCUGUGUGUUUCCUAAUUCUGAUUCCCAAGAGCAAGAAUCGGAUUGGCUAAGAUAAGCAUUUCAUUCCAGAAGUUUUACUGGUUGCUGGCAGGCAUAUUCAUUGGAGAGGUCCCUUGGUCAGUCAACUAUGUCAGAACCAAACAGUCGUGUGUGAUCAAGGUGGGGGAUUUGAAUGGGAGUAGAGAAUGGGUCUACUACUACAGUACAUGGCCACCAAUGUAGCCAUGAGAGUGGACGGGGCAGUUUUCUUAGGAGUGGACAUGGGUAGACAGGCAAUCACUGACACUGAAUACAAAAUAUAAAUAUACGCAUUUCCAAUUUGAGCCUGAUGUCUGUGUAAAACGGAGUAAUAAUAUUUCAGAGGCUAGUUUAUGGGGGAUAGAUGAGAUAGUGACCUAAACAAAUGGAUGUAAAACCCCAAGAAAUCAUUAUUACCAUUCAACUAAGGGAGUGCAAACAUAGUGGAACCUGAUUUAAUAUCUCAAAUAGUCCAGCACUCAAAAAUAGGCUGGUAACACAUAGGCCAUCAGGGUGUUGUCUUGUGGUGCAUGCAGCAGGAUGACUAUUACUGUGAACUAAGCAACACAGAUGCCAUCUUCUGAAGACAAAUAGACACAAAGGAUUGUGUCUUUGUUCAUAUAUACAAAGAAAAUUGGCACUAGAACUGGAUGAGAGCCAAGGGACAGUCUGUUUGAUAGGCUGUGGCUUGUGAUAGUCCUAAUCUGUUGAUGAAAUAAUGUGUUUCCUUCUGGAAAAAAGGAAUUUUCUAACGUUCCCCUAAGAAAGGUUUCAGCUGCCCUCAGCUCUGUCAGGGACUAGAAGUGAUUGUCCUGUUCUGGGUUAUUAUCACUUUGAUCACACCAAUUCCCCUUUUGGGCUUAAAAAACUCAGUCUCUUUCUGUCUCUCUCUCUCUCUUUUUCUCUCUCUCUCUUUUUGGAGGAUUUUUUUCGAAUCUGUAUAUCUUUCUAGUUUAACUAGAUACAGAUCUAGUCAUGGGUUUUUACCCCCAGGCUCUCCCUUUUGUCAUCUUUUAUCCUCCUCUUUCCUUUGUCCCAUUUAAAUUAAAUUUUAGAAUUUAUAUAAGAAUUUAAGUUGGUCAUAGUAAAGAUUUUGAAACAUUAGGGAUUUUGAAUUCCAAUAGUGUUAUCAGUAGCUUUUAAAGGUUAGGAUUUUCCUUUUGUAUGUGUCAUGAGUCUAUAUGUGUGAGACUGUGACACUGUGUGUAUGUAUUUAAAGAAUAUUUAAACUUAUGACAGUAAAAGAAAAAGUACAAAUUGCAAAUAUCAAGCGUUACGUCAAAUAAAAACUUCCAAAACAGUCCUAUGUGACAAAUAACACAAACCAAAUUAAUUAUUAAAAAGAAUCUUUUGUAUCACUCAAUUCCUAGAAAGAAUCAGGAAAGUAAAAGUCUAAAAAGCAGUGGUUUGAAGAAAAACAGGAAGCCUGCCACAAAGCAUUUUGAGUAGGUGAAUGAAGGUUAUUAGUUAAGCUGGGGAUGCCUGCUUUCCCUGCUCUAGCAGUCACAGACAGAGUGAGCAUGCCUCUGCAUAAUCCUAUUAUGUACAGGGUGCUGCACUUGGCCUUCCUGGUGACUUACAUUUGCCAGAAACACUACACUUCAAACACAUACCAUACAGGCAAUUACAACAGGUUUCCAAAGAUUGAUGGCAGCCCCCAAAUGAAAAGAUUCCACUAGCUACCCUCUAAAUCCUCAUAUGAAGAAUAUGUGUUUGUGUGUGUGCCACUAUGUGUUCAUGUAUUUAGCCAGCAUAAUGUAGAAAAUUGAUUUCUUAACACCUGAUUCUAGGCAGAAGCAAUUUCUGCCCAGAAUGUCAGCCACUUUUUAAAAAAUAACAUCAAGCCAUUGCACAAAUACAAAAUCACAUACUUGGAGAAAACGAAAUUAUACACAUCCUUAGAAUAUUACUCUUUCCCUUUCAUCCUUCAAAAAUUAAUUUGGAUUUUUAACUUUCCAUCCUGGUCCAAUACUGUACAACAAAGAAAGUAUGGAUAAGAAAAGUAAGAUUUCAGAAAUGUGGUAAGGAGUGGAGGGAAAUGCCUUCAAUAAUUCUCAGUGAGGGUGUAGGAGGACUUCUGGCUCACAGAUGUUCCAGUGCUCUAAGGGGUUCAUUGGGAGAGAAUAUCACCAUAGGUUUGAAAAACUAUUAAUCCCACCAAGGAAAAAAAACUUCAGCUUUUGAGCCUGUUAGCAAAUUAUAGUUAAUAAAAAUAAAAUUUGUGGCCUGGCACAGUGGCUCACGCCUGUAAUCCUAGCAUUUUGGGAGGCCGAGGAGGGUGGAUUGCCUGAGCUCAGGGGUUCAAGACCAGCCUGGUCAACAUGGUGAAACCCUGUCUCUACUAAAUACAAAUUAGCUGGGCUUGGCAGCAUGUGCCUGCAGCCCAACUACUCAGGAGGCUGAAGUGGGAGAAUUGCUCCAGCCCACAAGGCAGAGGUUGCAGUGAGGUGAGAUGGUGCAACUACUACACUCCAGACUGGGUGACAGAGCGAGUCUCUGUCUCAAAAAUAAAAUAAAAUAAAAUAAAAUAAUAUAAAAUAAAAUUUGUAAAUAGAAUACACCGAAAUAUAUUCUGUGAACAAAAGAGGACAAAUUAAACCAAGAGAGUUCAAUGUACAAGGUAUGAUUUUGAAAUUAUACAAUUGUACUUUUAAAUCCCUUGACUUUUGCAAAGAAUCUUGAUGCAGCAUAUAUUUUUAUUAUAUAAAUGUCUAUUUUGCAAUAGGAUGAAAUAAAAUUAAGAAGACCUAUGAUAAUGCAGUAUAUAAAUUUGGCAAAACACUUGAAUAAUGAAAAAACUUAUUGGUGAGUUUUGUCUCAUAAAUAUAUUUGUUGGAGAAAGAUACUCUAAAUGGAGACAAACAUAAAAUGCUUGUGGAAAUAUUUAGACAUUUAACAUAAACAAUUAGAAUUGACAUUGCCCUCCAUUUGACAGAAUUUUAUCUGAAUUUACAUUACAACAGCACUAGAAGAGAAUAUUUUCCCUAUUAAAAAGAUUAUGGUCUAUAGAAAAAGAACCAACUGAAAAUGCAAUUAACCAUAAUUUGAAACUUGAAGACAAUUUCAGGCAUUUUUAUGGGAAAAAACACUAAAUUUUUAAACAAAAUACUAUUAAUAAAGAGAAUUAGAGAAAUUAUAUAAGCACACAAGUAUUGUUACCUGCUUUUAAAAUUUUUAAUGUUCAGGUAAUGAUAUAAAGGAGGUUUAUUUAUUAAAAUGUUUAUUUAAUGUAUACUAGUGUAAUAG
RNAcentral lists this long non-coding RNA (16624 nucleotides) under Homo sapiens (human). RNAcentral describes it as "HSALNT0109187". The record is from RNAcentral. Lineage: Eukaryota; Metazoa; Chordata; Mammalia; Primates; Hominidae.